AUUUGUAAUUGUGACAACAUUUCUGUGAUCACAGGCACACAGGGACCAAAGUGGGUACCAUGACAGCCGUUUGUCACCGGGUUUUAUGUCCCCUGGAGUCACACGAUGAAUACGACAGAAAUGUGCCAUGUGCCCUACAAGAAAAUGAUUUGUCGGUGUGCUGCGUUGCCAUUAUGAUGCUGUCCAGGUAGACCAGAAGAGGCAUUGCAGGAUGCCAGCAGGGUACCAGAUGCCCCAGGCAUGGACUGGUGGCUAUGAGGCCUCGACUAUGCUGAAGAUGUACACACAAUACAGCCAGAUCAUCAACUUCUCCGAGCUCCCAGACCCAGUGGAGGAAUGGGAGCUGGAGGACCUGAUUGGCGAGGGCACAUAUGGAGAGGUGUACAUGGCCAAGAACAAGAAGACAAGAGUCCAGGCUGCCGCCAAGGUGAUGGAGUCCAUCCAUGAGGUCCUGGAGGAGGUGGAGGAGGAGUUUCAGGUGCUCCGAGACCUCAGCACCCAUCCCAACAUCCCCGACUUCUUCGGGAUGUAUCUCAAGCGGGACGGAAGCUCGGAGGACCAGAUAUGGCUUGUGAUGGAGAUGUGUGGAGGUGGAACUGUGACGGACCUGAGCCGGGCUCUCAUCAAGGACAGUAAACGACUGGAAGAGGGACUUAUAGGCCACAUACUUAGGGAGACACUGAAGGCUCUGAACCAUCUCCACAGCAACAACGUCAUGCACAGAGACAUCAAAGGUCACAACAUCCUCAUCACUGAGUCUGGGGAGAUCAAAUUAGUGGACUUCGGAGUGUCUGGUCAUCUUGAUCGAGCUCUUGGGCGGCGGAAAACUCACGUUGGGACUCCGUACUGGAUGGCACCCGAGGUGAUUGCCUGUGAGCAGCAGAUCGAGUACUCCUACGACAUCCGCUGUGACAUAUGGUCCCUGGGGAUUACUGCCAUCGAGCUGGCUGACGGAGCACCCCCUCUGGCUGACAUUGACCCUCGGAGAGCCCUUUUUAAGAUAGCCAGCCACAUAAAACCGUCCCCUGAAAGAGGGUCACCGCCACCCACAUUCAGGCAGCCUGAUCUCUGGUCACAAAACUUUAAGGAUUUUGUUAAAAAAUGCCUGAUUAAAGAUUUUGAGGAAAGACCAUUCACAGAAGGUCUCUUGAACCACCCAUUCAUAGAAGACCUGCCACAAGACCCAACUGAGUACAAGGAGAAACUGAAACAACUAACAUCAGAGAUGGAGCGGACCAUCCACGAGCCGGACAUCACGACCAAACAUGGCCGCAUGAAGUCACGUCGCAAGUCUAGACGAGAAGCAAUACAGACAGCAGAUGAUCUUGCUUCUCUGGAGACAUUGGAUGAUGACGUGAUUGUGUCCCAGUUGUUCAACAGGUACGGCCAGAAUCUCAUCUACACGUAUAUUGGGGACAUCUUGCUGGCUGUCAACCCCUUCACCUUCAUGACAAUAUACUCCGACGAGUACUCCAAGAAGUACAUGAACGCCCCGAAGGACAGCUUGCCACCUCACAUCUUCGCUGUCGCCGAUCAGUCCUUUCAGAUGAUGAUGCAUAAUAAACACAACCAGUGUAUUGUGAUCAGCGGGGAGUCUGGGGCUGGCAAGACGGAGAGCGCCAACCUCCUGGUCCAGCAGCUCACCCAGCUAGGCAAGGCACCAAAUCGUACAUUAGAGGAGAGGAUUUUACAAGUAAACCCUUUGAUGGAAGCCUUCGGUAAUGCCAAGACGGUCAUCAACGACAACUCCAGCCGGUUCGGGAAGUACCUUGAGAUGUUCUUCACAACUCACGGAACUGUAAUGGGAGCCAAAAUUACUGAGUAUCUGCUGGAGAAGUCGCGUGUCAUUCAUCAAGGAAAAGGGGAACAAAGUUUCCACAUCUUCUAUUACGUCCAUGACGGCCUGAUCUCCAGUGACAAUGACAAGUUCCACCUUAAGAAGAGCAAAGUGUACAAGUAUCUCCAGGAAUACACCAGUGCCCCCCCAGACAUAGCCUCAUUGUCAGUACACCGGGUCAAGUUCAAGGCCAUUCAGACAUGUUUUGAUGUAAUUGGUUUCCAGAAAGAGGAGGUGUCGUCCGUGUAUGCUAUCCUGUGUGGGAUCCUGCACAUUGGCAACAUGGAGUUCCAGGAGAAAGAGCUGUCGGACCACACCGGGGACUGCUGUGUCAUCAGUGACAGGAGUCUGCUCGAUAUAGUAUCGUCCCUGCUUGGAGUACACUCUGAGGACAUACAAGAAGCUCUCACUUCAACAGCAAUGGUAGCCAAGGGUGAGCUCAUCAUCCGCAACAACAACCUCCGUGAGGCCUUCAAUGCCAGGGACGCCAUGUCAAAGGCCCUGUAUGGCCGCCUCUUCAGCUGGAUCGUCAACAGGAUCAGUGCUCUCCUCAGACCAGCCAAAACAGAAAGAUCUGAUGAUGAGAGCUUGGUGAUUGGGCUUCUGGACAUCUUCGGGUUUGAAAACUUCACACGCAACUCCUUUGAACAACUUUGUAUCAACAUUGCCAAUGAACAAAUACAGUAUUAUUUCAACCAGAACAUCUUUGUCUGGGAGAUGCAAGAGUAUCAUAAUGAAGGUAUUGAUGCCAAGGAUGUGAGCUAUGUGGACAACCGGCCCAUCCUGGACAUGUUCCUGAUGAAGCCCAUGGGUGUCCUGUGUCUGCUGGAUGAAGAGAGCAACUUCCCAAAAUCCACUGACCAGACUCUAGUUGAGAAGUUCCAUCAGAACAUUAACUCGCCCUACUACACAAGACCGAAGGCUGACAAUCGCAAGUUUGCUAUCGAGCACUAUGCUGGCAAGGUGACGUACGAUGCCUCUGGCUUCCUGGAGAAGAACAGAGAUCGACUUCCUGUUGAGAUCGUUGACAUCCUGCGCCAAUCCAGCAACUCUGUGGUCAAGGCUCUGUUCCAGACUCCCCUCACAAAGACAGGAAACCUGGCUACGGGUAGUCUCAAGUCCAACUUCAACAGUACCAAAUCCAGUGCAUUUAACUCUCCCAUGAGCACCAACAGCGGGUUUACAAUCCAGAGUUACCAGCCUCAGAGCAGAUCAGCAUUUGGAGGCAGCAGGAUUUAUUUGAAUGCUCUUAAUGCAUCUGGUUCUACCAGCAUGACCCGGAUCCAGCAGACCGUGUCCACGUAUUUCCGCUUCUCUCUCAUGGACCUCCUGGCCAAGAUGGUGGCUGGCUCCCCACAUUUUGUCAGAUGUAUCAAGCCGAACGACAAAAAGGACCCUGAUCACUUCGAGUCGGAGAAGGUGAUGAUUCAGCUGAAGUAUACUGGCGUCCUGGAGACUACUCGGAUCAGGAGGCAAGGUUAUUCUCACAGGAUACAGUUCAGUGAGUUCCUCAAGAGGUACCAUGUGCUGUGUUUCCAGUGGAAUGAGAAGAUCCCCAUCAAUGCCGAGACCUGCACUGUGCUCCUGGAGAGGCUGGGGCUGCAUCACUGGGCCAUCGGCAGGACGAAGGUUUUCUUGAAAUACUACCAUGUGGAGGAACUUGCUCGGAGGUACGAGAGCUUCUACGAGAAGUUGAUUCUAGUCCAGGCUUGUGUGAGGCGCUGGCUCAGUCGAACGCACUUCUUCCGCAUGAAGUGGCAGCGAGACAAGGCAGCGCUCAUCAUGCAGAAAUUUGCCCGAGGAUGGCAUGUGCGGAAGGAGUACCAGACAGUUGUGCAGCAGAGACGCAGGGCGGCCAUUGUUCUACAAAAAUUGGCACGUGGGUUACAUACCAGGAAGGUGUACAAGCCGGUGAUCAAACAGCGCCACAAUGCCGCUGUCUCCAUACAGACUGCAUACAGAGGUCACUUGGUGCGAAAAAGGGUCAUGGAAAACAAAAGAAAUGAGGAAGAACAAGCAAGGAAAAUACAAGCAGUGUUCCGAAAGAAGCAGACAAAGAUUGUUGCAGAGAAGGAAAAACGCCAGAAUUUGUAUGCAGCUAAGAGAGCGGCCACUCUCAUACAGACCUACUUCCGUAUGUGGCGCUCCAAGGUUUUCUACAGUCAGUUGCAGGAAUACAAGAACAAGAAGGAACUGGAACUCAUCUACUUUGGACAACAGGUCGAAGCCUACAACACGGAUGCAUCUGACUGUAUGCAACGAAAUAACAACAAGAGGCGAGGUGUUCCUGUUGAGGUUGUGGCCUUGACACAAGGUCACACGUCAGAGGUGAAGGUCGAGGACAAGCAGGUGACCUUCCAGGAGCGCAUUGCCAAGAUGGACAUCGAUGAGGCCAGGGCGGAGCAUCUGGUGAAGCUGCAUGAAGAGAAGGGCCUCAUGUCUGAGCAGGAGACGGGGUAUUACGACAGUAUUGCUAACCUGGAGACAGGGGAAGAGGGUCUAGUCAUUGGCACCAGCACACCAAAGACAGCUGGACAGCCCUCCAUGGUGCACAUGGCGCCAGGCCUGAGUGCCAGUGUGAUGGGCGUGGAGCAGAGUGAGUACUAUGACUCCAUGGUCAGAGAAAACAAAACACAAGGGCUGACAAAUGGACACACUUCGCAGGUCCAAGCUGUGCAGGAUACCAAAAGCCAAUCAGCCUUGUGUUCUCGAGCACUAUUAGCUCAGUCAGCAGCUCAGACUUUCCUGGCCAACAAGCCUUGCGACCUCCAGUCGGGUGACUCCGCCAAGCCCUUACCUAAAAACAGCAGCUCCUCUAACCUGGCGUGGGACGCUCCGUUACAAUCGGCACGGGAACGGGCACUUGCAUCGCAGGACAUUGACUCUGAUGAAGAGAUUGAGUACCCUACCAACGGACUUGUCGAGACUGACCUCACAACUGACAAGUCAGCGUUUUUCGAAGAGGAUAAUGACCCUCAUGAAAUGGCCAAGAGGUUGGAGAAGGAGAUGGCUGCCAGCGUGGUGAGCUUCUGGAGGAAGAGCGUGAUGCAGUCACAAGUGCAUGUCGACUAUGAGGAGUACGAUGAGGAUGAAGAGGAAGAGAACACUUCAAAUGUUUCCUAUGGUCACGACCCAGAUCUACCUCCCCCACCUCCACCCCUGGAAAUGACAAUGGACUCACCCACGGGUGCCCCUCCUCCUCCUCCACCACCCCCACCUCCUCCACUGCCUCACUCUCAGACCAUGCCCAUGAUGAACGGAGGGGGACAUGUCGGGUUGUUGGAGAAUGGAACAAAUGGAGACUUGCAAAGAUCUGAAGAUAGAAAUGUGCCUAAGUCAAAAAGUGACAACCAUAUCGGAAAUGAUACUCAGCUUGUGGCAAAGCAAGUUUCACUUACCGAUAUCCGAGCCAAACUUCGGAAAACAAACAUUGAUGUUGGGGAAGGAACUCUCAGAAGGGUUGUAGAAUCCUCACCCUCUCAAGUUGACUUUCGUCAUGUCUUAAAGAAAAAACAGCAAAAGACUCUAAUGGGGAAUGGUUAUAACUAAGAAGCUCAGAAACUAAUACAUCUACAGUGAACAGUCUUCAGAAACCAAUACAUCUACAGUGAACAGUCUUCAGAAACUAAUACAUCUACAGUGAACAGUCUUCAGAAACCAAUACAUCCAGCUUGCUUCAGGAAGCCUUCACAAUGUCCAUGUUUUCAGAAACAACUACAUCCUUUUGCCAAACAGUUUAUUUUUGAACAAACAUUCUGAAAUUAUCCUUACUUACUAGAUGUUAUCUAGUGUGUAAUUUUACAUUAUUUCUUAGUUAAAAUAUGAAUCCAAAGAAUAGGACCCCAUCUCUAUGGAGCUUCUUCUUAUGCCAGAAUGUGAUAGCACCUGUGUAAGUGUUUGUAUGUAUGUAUUAUUUUUAUCUAAUGACCUCAGACCCUUGUUCACCUAGAUGUGAAUGGCGCCUCCAUAUAUAGUGUUGAAAUGAUGGUCCAUGUUAAAUAUAGAAAUAUUGUGUUUUUUGCUCUUGGCCCUCACAAUGUCUUAACACAUGACAAAAAUAACCAUUCAAUCUCAGAGAUUGAAGAGAAUGUUGACCAAAAUUGAUUUCAGUGUUUAUUGACAGUGAUGCUAUAAAAAUUACUGUUGGUAUUUGAUGAAUUGAUGACAGAACUGCAGUUAUGUUCUUCAGUUAUAUCAAAGAUAUUGUCAGUCGAAACAACGUGAGCACAAAUAAAAUGCCACCCAAAGUAUUGAAUACAAAGAGCAUUAAUCACAUGAGGUUGAUACCUACAGUGUUUAUAUAGUCCAUGUAGGUUUGAUGGUUACCUGUGGUAAUAAAACAUAAAAUAUUAAUUAUUUGAUUUAUAUACAAUAUUGAUGAGUUCUAUGUUGAAAGUGAUGUCCAGUUGUCCUCUUUAUACAUUCCCCUGACAUACGUUUGUUCUGCACUGGAUGUUGAUCUCAGUAUGACUUCGUCUUCGUUUCUUUACAAAUAUUGAGGACAUUGUCUUUACGCUUUUCACCAAAGUUGGAGGACAAUUCAGCUUUACUAGGAGGAGGAAGCAGAGCUGUGUGUUUGAUGUGUUGUUUUACUCACCAAUAACUGACAGAUAGACUGGAUCAGAAAAUCCCACUUUGCACAGAUGCGCAUCUGGGGUAGAACAAGGUUCCAGGAUGACAUGUUACAGUUUGCCUGUCUUGAGUUUUCAUGAACAAAUGUUAAUCAAAGUUUAAAGGAGGACUUGUCUCUGUGAAAUGGCUGGGAUGGCUAAUAAUGUUCUUUCUGAGUACUAGCUGUAGAGGAAUUAUCCUGCAUAUGUGAGAAGGUGACAUUGCACAUUCAGUAAUGAGUCGAUAUGUUGGUUGAAAGUUCAGUCCCCAGCAUUUUGGCAAUUGGCUGUGACUGGCCAGUAGUGUUCAAAUGUUUUAAAUGUUUUUGAUAUUGAAAAGGUGUAAUAUAUUUAGAAAUAUUUUGUAAUUACCCUGUACAGUUUGAUUUGGUAUUCUUGUGUGAAUAUUGAGUAUUGUAGUGAAUCUGUGAGAUGAAAUAGAAAGUUUUAUGGGUUUGACCCUGGAAGAUCCUGAAAAACAAGGCAAAGGAAAUAUGUAAUCUACCGACAGAGUUGGCUUAAAUGUACAUCGUGUGUGAUUCUAAUGCCAAAAUAUUCUCAAAAUAGAAUAUCCACAUGUUUUUUCACAGUUGUUUCAUAGUUUUGAAUUUUACAUUUGUAGGAGGAAAAAUGUCCUUCAAAUCUUGUAAUAUUUCUGAAUAGUGUGUAUAUUCAUGUAGCUGGGUUUCACAGAUGUAUUUGAUUGUCAUUUGUGCACAUUUCCUAUCUUGAUGUUAGGUAUACCAGCACAAUAUUGUCACAUGCAAUAAGAAAUGUAUACUGCUCAAAACGAGUUAGAGAGCACAUGAUUCUUCACAUUACUAUAGUCAAUAUGCCAUGGCAGAUUAAAUAUAGUAGUAUGAAGGAAUCAGGUGUUCUUUAACUUCUUUUCAGUAGUAUAUAUGACCACUGUGACAAUGUUGAUUUGAGAUUAAACUUAAUUGUCAAUUCUUAACUCACAUUUAAUUUGAUUUUAAAAUUUCUUUAUUUCACCAAAGAUUUUAUUCAUAUAUGGUUUAAUAGGAAUAGAUGUUAUGCAGUCAUAGGUCACAGCAACAUAUUUACUAAGCUGUGACAGGUUUGUCAAAAUAGAACCUUUGUGCUGGUAAAUGAGAGGAAAGGUAGUUAUGUACAGAUUGUUGACAGGGUGUUGACCAUGUAAUUAUGUCACUUUCAAAUAACAGAAAAUCAAUUCCAAAGGUUCAGUGUAAAUAUUUUCUUGUUAGGAUUUGGGAUUGGCAGCUUCAAUUGAAUUUUGAUUAGUUACGUAGCUUGUUGCUUGUGAAACACUUCUCAAUUGUCUGUGAUACUACUAGCAUUCCAACAGUUUUACUUAUGAAUGUUAAAAGUGUUUUGCUUGUUAUAUAACUUUUAGUGCUUAACCCCACUGUUAUAUAUCUGUAUAUCAGUUGUGAGUGUGUUCCAGUUGAAGUUAGGUGUUUUUCAUACCAAUAUGAAACAUAUCAACGGUUGUGAUGAAGCUAUUUUCUUGUAAACUAUAUACAUUUGCUUGUAUGUUUGAUGUUGAUGAUUGUGUUUGUUGUAAUAUCUGUUUUAAUGAACUUGCAGAGUUUAGAAUAUUUGGUGCUCAUGUACAAAGUGUUGUUGAAAAUUAAAAGUUUAACGUUUUAGAGACAAGAAAAUGGAAAAAUGAACGUUCUUAAAUAGUGACAGUGAUAUAUUUUGGGUAAUAUUAUUCUAGAGAGGCAAUAUGUCGAUAAACGUAUAUCAUGUGUCUGGCGUUAUAUUACAAUGUAUCCAUUGCUUACAUGUUUGUUAGGAUGUUUUUGUUAACAUCAUUGUUACAGGACUUUGUUACAUGACACUUACAUGACAUUGUUGCAUGACACAUGACAUUAUUACUUGACACAUGACAUUAUUACUUGACACUUACAUGACACAGUUACAUGACACAUGACAUUGUUACAUGACACUUACAGGACUUUGUUACAUGACACUAUUACAUGACAUUGUUGUCAGUGUUAUAUUGUCAUGCAUAGCAUGUACAUAUGAUUACAUUUUAUCAACACUUAACAUAAUUUUAACAGAACAAAUGAAUGACCGUUGAAUGUCCCUUUGUCUUGCAUGUUUGCACUUAUCUUUAUUACAAACAAAAUUAAAAUUUAGAAAGAUAACAUCAUUAAAAGCCUGAUGUUCCAAUUUGAGGAGAAAAAUCUUUUGCAGAUUUAAAUUGAACCAAGUACUUCAUAACUUUUGUCGUUAUAACUUAAAUGAAGACAUGAAACUGUCAUGGAUAACAACUUUACUGUUUGUCAAUGGCUAACAACUUUAUUGUUUUCACAUGGAAUAACAACUUCUGUUGUUCCUAACAUUUUCAAGUCUUCAUUUUCCACCAAUCUUAAUGCCAAUCAAACACUUGAUGACUCAAGUGAAUAGUAGGGAUUUACUAUUAAUUCUGUUCAGCUAAGGGACUGAACAUUUAUUUUGGGGUGAGUAGGUGUGCGGUCUUCCAUCCAAGAGAAUGCCCUCCUGCAUCUGCAUUGUUUUGGGGCUGACCAUCAGUAAAUAUUUGUCCAUUUUUAACUUUCCGUCAUCCGUCCACCAGUGACAUCUGAGACUGACUUCAGAAGGUCUCUGCAACAAGAAUAUUUAGUUUUUGAAAAUACAACAAAUUUAAACUUUAAACAAUAUAAAUAAUUCAAGUUUUGAAUACAUUGUGUGUUGAAGUAUCUCCUUUGGAACACCCAUCCCACCAUAAGAAAUACUGGUCCCUAUCAUUCAAAUCCUUCCU
This 9199-nucleotide unclassified non-coding RNA is filed under the name Haliotis rufescens (red abalone). RNAcentral describes it as "myosin-IIIb-like, transcript variant X19". Lineage: Eukaryota; Metazoa; Mollusca; Gastropoda; Lepetellida; Haliotidae. The record is from RNAcentral.